RNAcentral lists this long non-coding RNA (283 nucleotides) under Carica papaya (papaya). RNAcentral describes it as "long non-coding RNA (CPAP_LNC014507)". The record is from RNAcentral. Lineage: Eukaryota; Viridiplantae; Streptophyta; Magnoliopsida; Brassicales; Caricaceae.
GUAAAAAAAUUUUACUUUGCUCGAAAUUCAAUUUUAAACACCCCUAUGGUCAAAUUGGAGCAAAAGAAAUGGUGGAUUGGCCAAAAACCGCGGGUAAAACCCGACAGCGCCACCGCAUAAAAUUACAAAAACCACUUUCGAUGAGGCUUUUUCCAAUUUUCGUUAUGCGUAAUUCUUCCACCAUUGUAAUCACCGUUUCCUUAUCUACAGGUUGACCGAAGUAAAAUAUCCAACUGCAAAUGUGAGCUGGCAGAGCCGCCGCAUCGGAGAACCCCGCCGCCGG